CCCUUAGAUGUUCUGGGCCGCACGCGCGCUACACUGACGAAUGCAACGAGCUUAUAACCUUGGCCGAAAGGUAUGGGUAAUCUCCAAAUUUCGUCGUGAUGGGGAUAGAUUAUUGCAAUUAUUAAUCUUCAACGAGGAAUGCCUAGUAAGCGCAAGUCAUCAGCUUGCGUUGAUUACGUCCCUGCCCUUUGUACACACCGCCCGUCGCUCCUACCGAUUGAAUGGUCCGGUGAAGCGUUCGGACCGUGGCCUUUGGACGGUUCGCCGUCUGUUGGCUGCGGGAAGUUCGUUAAACCUUAUCAUUUAGAGGAAGGAGAAGUCGUAACA
This 327-nucleotide ribosomal RNA is filed under the name uncultured eukaryote. RNAcentral's name for it is "partial 18S ribosomal RNA". It matches the Rfam family "Eukaryotic small subunit ribosomal RNA", at positions 1470 to 1796 of the family's 1831-position model. The record is from RNAcentral.